RNAcentral lists this long non-coding RNA (956 nucleotides) under Marmota monax (woodchuck). Lineage: Eukaryota; Metazoa; Chordata; Mammalia; Rodentia; Sciuridae. The record is from RNAcentral.
CUUCCAUCCAUCCUGAGUUGGUUUUUGUGUGCACUUAGAAGAAGGGGUCUGGUCCACUCCCACGCCUGCCUGUCUAGUCUUACAGUUCCACUUCGUGAAAGGGGCUGUCUUUUCUCCACUGUUUGUCUUGGUGCCUUUGUUGGCUGUAUGUAUCCAGGAUUAACCUCUGGGUUCUUUACGUCCAUCUCUGUGUAGGAUUUUAUGUCAGGACCACAGUGUUUUGGUUACUACAAUUUUCUAGGUGUUAUAUGAAGUUUAAGAUUUUUUUUCUAUUUUGGUUUCUCAUCUUGCAAGGGUUGGAGUGCUCAAUUGGGAUCAUCUUAGUCCCUCGACCCACCUAACUAGGUAUGUCCAAAUGUUGGAAUAUGCAGAAAUCAAGCUAGAGACAGCCCGAUGGUGACCUGUGAUUGCCACAGUGCAGCAGGGCUUCCUACAGGAGGCCCUCCUGUCAUGCAAGGGGAGCACUGAUAUUUCUUAGAGGAAGGUGCCUUAGCCAUGGGAGGCCAGACCUUUGUGCUGUCUCCUUGCCUGAAGGCUCAGUGCCAUCCUGAGAAGGGCUGUGGUCAGACCCACAGGGCCUACCCCAUUGGCCAGAUCCCAGUCACAUGACUUGAUCAGAACUGCAAAGGAGGCUGGGAAAUAUGGAGGACUUAUGGAGAUGGAGAAGUCCAGCAGCAUGGUACGGGCAUCUCAGGCUGCACCGCAAGGUAAUUAAAGGGCAGACACACAGGAGAGAGAGAAUCAGAUCAAACUCAGAACCCACUCUCAGCGUAAUGACGUUAAUCCUUGAGGACAGAACCCUCACCUUUUACAACCCUCCUUUUACUGCUGCUGCAAAGGCAAUUGGUUUCAGAGUGAGUUGUGGCAGGCCCACUUGAACCGCAGCAGAGAACGCUGGAAAUCUCUCCUGCAGACUCAGUCUAUGCUCACGAAAUGUUAGGGACGAACAAUUCCUG